RNAcentral lists this transfer RNA (76 nucleotides) under Fidelibacterota bacterium. Its description in RNAcentral is "tRNA-Lys". It matches the Rfam family "tRNA". From Rfam's summary of the family: Transfer RNA (tRNA) molecules are approximately 80 nucleotides in length. The record is from RNAcentral. Lineage: Bacteria; Pseudomonadati; Fidelibacterota.
GGGUGCGUAGCUCAGCUGGUAGAGCAGUGCCCUUUUAAGGCAUUGGUCGAAGGUUCGAUUCCUUCCGCACUCACAA